GACCGCGUCUCCUAAUUGGUAAUACUCUCCGUUCAUAGCGGAUGAGAUGUAGGUUCGAAUCCUACCACGGUCA
RNAcentral lists this transfer RNA (73 nucleotides) under Caudoviricetes sp. RNAcentral describes it as "tRNA-Ser". It matches the Rfam family "tRNA". Rfam says of the family: Transfer RNA (tRNA) molecules are approximately 80 nucleotides in length. Their secondary structure includes four short double-helical elements and three loops (D, anti-codon, and T loops). Lineage: Duplodnaviria; Heunggongvirae; Uroviricota; Caudoviricetes. The record is from RNAcentral.